GGAGGCAUAUGCACACGUUACGGGGCCGCAUACGGAGCGGUUUUUGUAAGGAUUACGGAGAACCUGACGGGGUCUGUGAAAGCCGUACCCUUCUUGGCUUACCGGUGGAGGAGCCAGUAGACACUUGUGCUAUCCAUCCUGCUGCGCUUGCAUUGGCCAAACUGGCUGUGGCACUGCUGUUAAUGGGGUUCAACAGAGGAUACGCCCCCGCAAGACAAUGGCCGGCAAGGGACCCGCCAAACCGAAGACUAAGGCUAAGGUGUGUCGCAUGUACUAGCCUCAAAACUGAUAUUAAUAUAAGUCGUAAAAUCAGCUGCAACAGAAUGGAAUGACAUUGUGCUUUCAGGGGCGAGACGCGAAAGGUCGACUUGAGCAUCCGUUCCGCGCCACCGUCACUUCGUUGUGAACAGUCGUGUCAGUAAUGACCAGACAGUGCUGAUAUUCCCCGUCGAUGAUGUGGAUGGGCGAAGCAAGUAGGAGAGGUUACCAGCAUCGGGGGCGGAACCUUGCGCAGCAUAGGCCAUGAUACUGUCUCGGACGACGCUUCGGAUUAGUUUUUCUACUAACUGCUAGAAACUACAUAAGCCUGAGGACAAGGGCUGGCUGCCUAUCCAGCUGAUGCCAUUACCAAUGCCCGAACUUUGUGGUGGCAGAAGUUCUGGGUUAGGAAAGUUGAUACCAUACGAAUGUAAUGUAAAGCUCUUUCAUUCCAAUCGAUGACGUCCAGCACUACGCCGAGAACUGAAAGGAGCAAAGCCAAAAUUGCAGAUACGGCUGAUAGCGGAUUACGACUACUUCGAGAUUAUCCAGAAGCGUGUCCUAUAUUAAAUUACGAUUUAGCUUACGC
Molecule: long non-coding RNA, 847 nt
Filed under: Volvox carteri
Lineage: Eukaryota; Viridiplantae; Chlorophyta; Chlorophyceae; Chlamydomonadales; Volvocaceae
Description: long non-coding RNA (VCAR_LNC002581)
Source: RNAcentral